GCCCGUAUGGCGAAGUUGGUAUAUGCAGCGCACUUAAAAUGCGUCGGUCGAAAGAUCAUGCGGGUUCGAAUCCCGCUACGGGCACCA
Molecule: transfer RNA, 87 nt
Filed under: compost metagenome
Description: tRNA-Leu
Rfam family: tRNA
About the family: Transfer RNA (tRNA) molecules are approximately 80 nucleotides in length. Their secondary structure includes four short double-helical elements and three loops (D, anti-codon, and T loops).
Source: RNAcentral